Long non-coding RNA from Panthera uncia (snow leopard), 726 nucleotides. RefSeq lists it as uncharacterized. The transcript has 3 exons. NCBI's taxonomy places the organism in Eukaryota, Metazoa, Chordata, Mammalia, Carnivora, Felidae. The record is from RefSeq and is a predicted model, not a curated record.
GCAAUCAGAGGGAGAGCUCAUGACUUCACAAGGCAACUGGCUUUGGCCUGCCCUCAUGGUCGUGUGAAACAGUCAAAGCUACUUCUUACUCUGUUCCAUGAGGGAAUCUAUCUGUUCCUGUUUCCCCAGCUCUUGUGUGGAUAAUGGUUACAAUAGUACCCACCUGAAACUUCAAGAUGAAUGGGAGUUAGAAGUUGGAAGCCUAAUGAAGAAAUUCUCUUGGCCAAUCCUGUAGAGAUGAUCAACUCUUUGAAAAGACAAGCCAGGGACAGAGAAGUCACAAUGGGUCACUUCUGGGCUGACUCUGGGAUACCUUCUUCCCCACACGUAUGGUGUGUGUUAAGGGAUCAGUCUGAUGCUCGGGGCUCCCUACCCCCUCCGAACAAUUGAGCACCUGGAUAUUAAACUUGGUCUGUAUGAUUUUCACUGGAUGCCUUGUUUGGUGAUUGUUCAAAGUCCCUUAUACGUGUGAAUUUCUCCUUCUUGGAUUAUAAAGUCCUUGAGGAUUUAUACUUAGAAAAACUAAUACUCUCUUGUUCUUCCUCCCCUCUUCAUUACCAAUUCUGGGUACUUUCAGCAAAUGUUUAACAUAUGACUACACAAUACUUCUCCUUGAGAAUUUCUUUCCUUUACAAAGUCUUAUUUUAUGAUGUGAUUAAGAUUUAUUUUUAUAAAUCAAAUUAAAAAAAAUUAAAGUAGUUCCACACCUUCUAAAGUGAGCCUAUU